Molecule: small RNA, 174 nt
Filed under: Yersinia pestis KIM D27
Lineage: Bacteria; Pseudomonadati; Pseudomonadota; Gammaproteobacteria; Enterobacterales; Yersiniaceae
Description: putative SgrS RNA
Source: RNAcentral
UUUUCUUUCCCUAUAUUACGCAGAUACUAACCCCCAAGAAAAGCGGGUUAUCGUGACAACGUCUAUGCAGUCACAGCCGAAAGUAAUGAGUUGAGCCUUGUCCUACCAAGUACCAAAAAAAUUCUGAGUAAUGGUGUUUUUCACCAGCCAGUAGGUUUUUCUGCUGGCUUUUUC